AUAACUUCAUCUGGGAGGAAGAACAUUCUUUCUCAUUGACAGAAAGUAAUGCAUCAUGGGUCUUGAUUUUCUCAUGUUCUUAAUGCUAUAUAACGAUUUAAUCAUUUUUUAAAUUGCUAUAAUAAUUCUGUCUCCUCUGUUACUCUCUCUAAAAAUAGUCAUUUCCUUCAUCUACUCAUUUCAAUAGCUUUUAAAUACUGCUGUCUGCUCUCUGUUUCAGGAGUGACUUCCAGCUGCAUCAGUUACACAGACCCCACCCGCAGUACCCUGCUUGACUUAACUCACUCAGAUGCCUCCAGAUCUGAGUAACUGGAGAGCUGAGCGUUUUCAGGGUCUGCAU
This 340-nucleotide long non-coding RNA is filed under the name Bos taurus (domestic cattle). RNAcentral's name for it is "long non-coding RNA NONBTAT025190". The record is from RNAcentral. Lineage: Eukaryota; Metazoa; Chordata; Mammalia; Artiodactyla; Bovidae.